Molecule: ribosomal RNA, 492 nt
Filed under: uncultured bacterium
Lineage: Bacteria
Description: partial 16S ribosomal RNA
Rfam family: Bacterial small subunit ribosomal RNA
Source: RNAcentral
AGUGAACGCUGGCGGUAGGCCUAACACAUGCAAGUCGAACGGCAGCACAGUAAGAGCUUGCUCUUACGGGUGGCGAGUGGCGGACGGGUGAGGAAUACAUCGGAAUCUACUUUUUCGUGGGGGAUAACGUAGGGAAACUUACGCUAAUACCGCAUACGACCUACGGGUGAAAGCAGGGGAUCUUCGGACCUUGCGCGAUUGAAUGAGCCGAUGUGGGAUUAGCUAGUUGGCGGGGUAAAGGCCCACCAAGGCGACGAUCCGUAGCUGGUCUGAGAGGAUGAUCAGCCACACUGGAACUGAGACACGGUCCAGACUCCUACGGGAGGCAGCAGUGGGGAAUAUUGGACAAUGGGCGCAAGCCUGAUCCAGCCAUACCGCGUGGGUGAAGAAGGCCUUCGGGUUGUAAAGCCCUUUUGUGGGGAAAGAAAAGCAGCAGGUUAAUACCCCGCUGUUCUGACGGUACCCAAAGAAUAAGCACCGGCUAACUUCGUG